Molecule: ribosomal RNA, 186 nt
Filed under: Photobacterium sanguinicancri
Lineage: Bacteria; Pseudomonadati; Pseudomonadota; Gammaproteobacteria; Vibrionales; Vibrionaceae
Description: partial 16S ribosomal RNA
Rfam family: Bacterial small subunit ribosomal RNA
Source: RNAcentral
UUAAAUUGAAGAGUUUGAUCAUGGCUCAGAUUGAACGCUGGCGGCAGGCCUAACACAUGCAAGUCGAGCGGUAACAGGAAUUAGCUUGCUAAUUUGCUGACGAGCGGCGGACGGGUGAGUAAUGCCUGGGAAUAUGCCUUGAUGUGGGGGAUAACUAUUGGAAACGAUAGCUAAUACCGCAUAAUG